AGAGUUUGAUCCUGGCUCAGGACGAACGCUGGCGGCGUGCUUAACACAUGCAAGUCGAACGAGAUCCAAGGGUUAGCAAUAACCUGGAAGAUCGAGUGGCGAACGGGUGAGUAACACGUGAGGAACCUACCCCGGNACUCAGGGNAUAACGGCUGGAAACGGCUGCUAAUACCUGAUGCCGUCGGAGCAUCACAUGGUGCACUGACGAAAGAAUCUCGGUUCGGGAGGGCCUCGCGGCCUAUCAGCUUGUUGGUGGGGUAACGGCCUACCAAGGCAUCGACGGGUAGCUGGUCUGAGAGGAUGAUCAGCCACACUGGGACUGAGACACGGCCCAUACUCCUACGGGAGGCAGCAGUGGGGAAUCUUGCGCAAUGGGCGAAAGCCUGACGCAGCAACGCCGCGUGCGGGAAGAAGGCCUUAGGGUUGUAAACCGCUUUCAGUAGGAACGAAAAUGACGGUACCUGCAGAAGAAGGUGCGGCCAACUACGUGCCAGCAGCCGCGGUGACACGUAGGCACCAAGCGUUGUCCGGAUUUAUUGGGCGUAAAGAGCUCGUAGGCGGUUGAGUAAGUCGGGUGUGAAAACUCUGGGCUUAACCCAGAGCCGCCACUCNAUACUGCUCUGACUUGAGUUCGGUAGGGGAGCAGGGAAUUCCUANUGUAGCGGUGAAAUGCGCANAUAUUANGAGGAACAC
This 693-nucleotide ribosomal RNA is filed under the name uncultured bacterium. RNAcentral describes it as "bacterial SSU rRNA". It matches the Rfam family "Bacterial small subunit ribosomal RNA", at positions 8 to 709 of the family's 1533-position model. The record is from RNAcentral.